Molecule: ribosomal RNA, 458 nt
Filed under: uncultured bacterium
Lineage: Bacteria
Description: partial 16S ribosomal RNA
Rfam family: Bacterial small subunit ribosomal RNA
Source: RNAcentral
CCUACGGGGGGCUGCAGUAGGGAAUAUUGCUCAAUGGGGGAAACCCUGAAGCAGCAACGCCGCGUGGAGGAUGAAGGUUUUAGGAUUGUAAACUCCUUUUGUCGGGGAGCAAAAAGCGGUACGUGUACCGCAUCGAGAGUACCCGGAGAAAAAGCAUCGGCUAACUCCGUGCCAGCAGCCGCGGUAAUACGGAGGAUGCGAGCGUUAUCCGGAUUUAGUGGGUUUAAAGGGUGCGCAGGCGGCGAGUUAAGUCAGCGGUAAAAUUUCGGGGCUCAACCCCGACGAGCCGUUGAAACUGGCUUGCUAGAGUGGGCGAGAAGUAUGCGGAAUGCGUGGUGUAGCGGUGAAAUGCAUAGAUAUCACGCAGAACUCCGAUUGCGAAGGCAGCAUACCGGCGCCCAACUGACGCUCAGGCACGAAAGCGUGGGUAUCGAACAGGAUUAGAUACCCUGGUAGUC